This 401-nucleotide ribosomal RNA is filed under the name uncultured Pseudomonas sp. RNAcentral describes it as "bacterial SSU rRNA". It matches the Rfam family "Bacterial small subunit ribosomal RNA", at positions 984 to 1382 of the family's 1533-position model. The record is from RNAcentral. Lineage: Bacteria; Pseudomonadati; Pseudomonadota; Gammaproteobacteria; Pseudomonadales; Pseudomonadaceae.
ACAUGCAGAGAACUUUCCAGAGAUGGAUUGGUGCCUUCGGGAACGUCUGACACAGGUGCUGCAUGGCUGUCGUCAGCUCGUGUCGUGAGAUGUUGGGUUAAGUCCGUAACGAGCGCAACCCUUGUCCUUAGUUACCAGCACGUUAUGGUGGGCACUCUAAGGAGACUGCCGGUGACAAACCGGAGGAAGGUGGGGAGUGACGUCAAGUCAUCAUGGCCCUUACGGCCUGGGCUACACACGUGCUACAAUGGUCGGUACGAAGGGUUGCCAAGCCGCGAGGUGGAGCUAAUCCCAUAAAACCGAAUCGUAGUCCGGAUCGCAGUCUGCAACUCGACUGCGUGAAGUCGGAAUCGCUAGUAAUCGUGAAUCAGAAUGUCACGGUGAAUACGUUCCCGGGCCUU